CAGGUCAGUCAUCCCGUCAAACAACCCAAGCAGCAGCAGCACUCUCCUCUAGUAUUCUAGCUCUGGCUUCAGUUCUUGUCGCCUCGCUGUGCUGUGCUUGUAGGUACAACAGUCAAUGCCGAGUUUCUAACACUUUCAGUUUGCGAAACAGAGAAUUCGCAGUCCGGGUCGCCGACUUCGGUCUUUUCUUUUCUUCUUCACCACCAAGACCAGACAUCACCGCAUAAACAAACAUGGCCGACACAGCAGCCGUCGCCAAGGGCGUCGAGAACCUCUCCGUCUCCGCCUCCAAGACCAAGGAGCUCAAGGGCACCGAAAAGAGAGACACCCUCAUCGAGAUCGAGAAGAGGUACCAGCAAAAAUGGGAGCAGGAGGGCGUCUUCGAGGUCGAUGCCCCCUCCACCGCCGAGUUCCCUCUCGACGCCAUUACCCCCGAUGAGCUGCGCCAAAAGCACCCCAAGUUCUUCGGCACCAUUGCCUACCCCUACAUGAACGGCCGCCUCCACGCCGGCCACGCCUUCAGCUUCUCCAAGAUCGAGUACCACACCGGCUUCGCCCGCAUGCAGGGCAAGCGCGCCCUCUU
Molecule: non-coding RNA, 583 nt
Filed under: Neurospora crassa
Lineage: Eukaryota; Fungi; Ascomycota; Sordariomycetes; Sordariales; Sordariaceae
Source: RNAcentral